Molecule: ribosomal RNA, 798 nt
Filed under: uncultured Streptococcaceae bacterium
Lineage: Bacteria; Bacillati; Bacillota; Bacilli; Lactobacillales; Streptococcaceae
Description: bacterial SSU rRNA
Rfam family: Bacterial small subunit ribosomal RNA
Source: RNAcentral
CGAACGGGUGAGUAACGCGUAGGUAACCUGCCUCAUAGCGGGGGAUAACUAUUGGAACGAUAGCUAAUACCGCAUAAGCAGUGAUUAACACAUGUUAGUUAUUUAAAAGGAGCAAUUGCUUCACUGUGAGAUGGACCUGCGUUGUAUUAGCUAGUUGGUGAGGUAAAGGCUCACCAAGGCGACGAUACAUAGCCGACCUGAGAGGGUGAUCGGCCACACUGGGACUGAGACACGGCCCAGACUCCUACGGGAGGCAGCAGUAGGGAAUCUUCGGCAAUGGACGGAAGUCUGACCGAGCAACGCCGCGUGAGUGAAGAAGGUUUUCGGAUCGUAAAGCUCUGUUGUUAGAGAAGAACGUUGGUAGGAGUGGAAAAUCUACCAAGUGACGGUAACUAACCAGAAAGGGACGGCUAACUACGUGCCAGCAGCCGCGGUAAUACGUAGGUCCCGAGCGUUGUCCGGAUUUAUUGGGCGUAAAGCGAGCGCAGGCGGUUCUUUAAGUCUGAAGUUAAAGGCAGUGGCUUAACCAUUGUACGCUUUGGAAACUGGAGGACUUGAGUGCAGAAGGGGAGAGUGGAAUUCCAUGUGUAGCGGUGAAAUGCGUAGAUAUAUGGAGGAACACCGGUGGCGAAAGCGGCUCUCUGGUCUGUAACUGACGCUGAGGCUCGAAAGCGUGGGGAGCAAACAGGAUUAGAUACCCUGGUAGUCCACGCCGUAAACGAUGAGUGCUAGGUGUUAGGCCCUUUCCGGGGCUUAGUGCCGCAGCUAACGCAUUAAGCACUCCGCCUGGGGAUACGC